CCCUACGUCCAAGCUGCUAGUUUAAGCUAAACCAGAGGAGCAAGAAAUGUGGCUGAUGAACCCCUGUGAUCAAAAUGAGGCAAGAAAUACAGGACCUUGGGCAUCUUAUUAUCUGCCUGAGCAAAGCCUUAGAUACAACAGCCAGGAGGAAGGUGGAGGUUGGAGGAGAUCGCAACAUUACUCAGAGCAUAUUUCCAGCCUUUUAUCUGCUGAGCCAGAGGGACACAGAUGUGGUCGAUACUUGCAUCAGAGACAUUGUAGCAUCCAUUGAUACUCGACUGAGAUUGAUGGAGACAAGAUUCAUCAUAAACAGAAGCAGAAUAAAAUAUUUCUUCUUAAUUCAGUGUUGGAUCUCUCAUGGUAAAAAAAAAAAUGAUUUUGAAAAUACCUGUUUGAAGAUCUCUGCCACUGUAUCACUGAAGACUUCAUUUUAUAUUUCUAAUUAAAGAUCAAACCAUGAAAUAAUCCAAUUUUGCAAAGAUUUCAAGUAUCAGAAACUU
This is a long non-coding RNA of Gallus gallus (chicken), 500 nucleotides long. The record is from Ensembl. NCBI's taxonomy places the organism in Eukaryota, Metazoa, Chordata, Aves, Galliformes, Phasianidae.